Molecule: long non-coding RNA, 156 nt
Organism: Bufo bufo (common toad)
Lineage: Eukaryota; Metazoa; Chordata; Amphibia; Anura; Bufonidae
Exons: 3
Source: RefSeq, a predicted model, not a curated record
CAUCAUCCUCCCUUUAACACCCCAUCUUGCCACCUGUAAUACUGUGUCCGCUGUGCCCCUCAAUACUAUCCUGCAGAAAAAGAAAAUCCCCCUGGAAAUACAACUACCACACAGAUAGUGCCCCCUUCUACAAUUAUUGGCACACAGUGCUCUAAA